AUUGAACGCUGGCGGCAGGCCUAACACAUGCAAGUCGAGCGGAUGAAGGGAGCUUGCUCCUGGAUUCAGCGGCGGACGGGUGAGUAAUGCCUAGGAAUCUGCCUGGUAGUGGGGGAUAACGUCCGGAAACGGGCGCUAAUACCGCAUACGUCCUGAGGGAGAAAGUGGGGGAUCUUCGGACCUCACGCUCUCAGAUGAGCCUAGGUCGGAUUAGCUAGUUGGUGGGGUAAAGGCCUACCUAGGCGACGAUCCGUAACUGGUCUGAGAGGAUGAUCAGUCACACUGGAACUGAGACACGGUCCAGACUCCUACGGGAGGCAGCAGUGGGGAAUAUUGGGCAAUGGGCGAAAGCCUGAUCCAGCCAUGCCGCGUGUGUGAAGAAGGUCUUCGGAUUGUAAAGCACUUUAAGUUGGGAGGAAGGGCAGUAAGUUAAUACCUUGCUGUUUUGACGUUACCAACAGAAUAAGCACCGGCUAACUUCGUG
RNAcentral lists this ribosomal RNA (484 nucleotides) under uncultured bacterium. RNAcentral describes it as "partial 16S ribosomal RNA". It matches the Rfam family "Bacterial small subunit ribosomal RNA", at positions 30 to 507 of the family's 1533-position model. The record is from RNAcentral.